GAUGAACGCUGGCUACAGGCUUAACACAUGCAAGUCGAGGGGAAACGACGGGGAAGCUUGCUUCCCCGGGCGUCGACCGGCGCACGGGUGAGUAACGCGUAUCCAACCUGCCUCUGACUGAGGGAUAACCCGUCGAAAGUCGGCCUAAUACCUCAUGGCAUCGUCUGCGGGCAUCCAACGACGAUUAAAGAUUUCAUCGGUCAGGGAUGGGGAUGCGUCUGAUUAGCUUGUUGGCGGGGUAACGGCCCACCAAGGCGACGAUCAGUAGGGGUUCUGAGAGGAAGGUCCCCCACAUUGGAACUGAGACACGGUCCAAACUCCCACGGGAGGCAGCAGUGAGGAAUAUUGGUCAAUGGGCGAGAGCCUGAACCAGCCAAGUAGCGUGCAGGAUGACGGCCCUAUGGGUUGUAAACUGCUUUUAUGCGGGGAUAAAGUGAGGGACGUGUCCUUUCAUUGCAGUACCGCAUGAA
RNAcentral lists this ribosomal RNA (470 nucleotides) under Segatella oris. Its description in RNAcentral is "bacterial SSU rRNA". It matches the Rfam family "Bacterial small subunit ribosomal RNA", at positions 28 to 486 of the family's 1533-position model. Lineage: Bacteria; Pseudomonadati; Bacteroidota; Bacteroidia; Bacteroidales; Prevotellaceae. The record is from RNAcentral.